CCACCCGCUUCGCGGGGUCACCUGUCUAAGCCUCAAGCCAGUCGGGCUCAGGGCCAUUUUCCCACGGAGUAAGAACCAGAACGCCAGCUGCCCCAGCGGCGCUCGCACCAUCCACCCUUGAAAUUGCCGUAGAAGAGACAGAAACUGAAAACCAUGGUUUCAGGCUGCUAAAAACCUAACAUGAAACAAAACAGAAGAACAACAACAACAAAAUAAGGUUGCUGACCAGAACUCAACAGUGAGGGAAUUUACCUCCUGCUUCAUGCAUGCAACAUCAAAAUAGAAGAGUGACCUAUGGGAUCCAUGGAGGAGCUGCUUCCUGAAUCUGUGUAAAGUAGAUCUUGCCGUGUGGGUAACUGUGACUGCGGUGGCCAUGAAGAGGCACAACUCAGACCUCGGAUCUCCUGCUGCAGAGAACAUUGACUGACAGCCCAGCAGCUCCUGUCUGGAUCUACCACCUGUUCACAAUUCUGAAAUACAUUCAACGCACACUUUCCUACUGAGAUUUCUAAAAUGGGACUUGGAAAACAGAAAAAUACGUAAGCAUCCUCUUUCAGGCCAGUAAAGUGGGGUACUAUCAUCUAAAUCUCCAAAAAGGUCAUUCAACUCUGAUCCCUGUUUAAAGAGAGAAAAAAGGAAUAAAGGAGCCUUUGAAGGCAGAAUAUUGCUCACUCAUCUCUUUGAAAGGACCUCAGACUGCAGAGCAGAAGAACCACUGGCUACAUCAGCUGGGGCAGAGGGGGAUGAAGAGAACAUCAUGAUGCCUGCAAAAAAGUGGGCUCUGCAGGAUCUCCAGUCACCUCCCUUCCCUUCAGAUCCAGAGCUCUCUCUGGCUAGGACCUUCCAGAGUUCCAGAAUUUUUGUUCCACCUUCCAUUGCUCACUUCUAUUACUAUUACUAAGAUAUUCACAUGGAAUUCUGUGCAAACCAUUUUUUUUUUCUUUUGGUGCCCUCUUUGUUUUACUUCCUCUAUUGGGACUAAUGGCCAUCUGACUUGGGGGUCCUUUGUUUUUUGUGACAAACCACCCUCAGCAGAUUUCCUUGAGGUCCAUUUGCUCAAGGGCCUUAAAGCUUUUUGGAGUAAUACAGAGUAAGUUUCUAGACAGCCUCUUGUGCUCUGCAGUAAGCUAAAGUGGAAGAUUAAGAUGCCUGGUGUAUACUGUGUGUUUCCCAUGUAAUGGCAGAAAAGGAAUGGGGCUCAUUAGUUACUUUAAGGUGGCAGCAGCUACCUUAGAGAAGACUGCAUUGCUUGUACUGAUUCAAAAGAGCACCUAAUGAAGGGAAAAAGCAGAAAUAAGCCAAGACUUGAGCUGAGUGAUUCGUUGAAUCAGCCAAGGAUAAUGUUCUUCAGGCACUAUGCACAUGUCACUGAUCAGUAGCGCUUCUCUUAAGCUUCAACAGCACUCACUUCCCCUGUCUUGAUGAGGUGAGCAGCACAUUUAAUUUCAGCUCCUGGGGCCAUCUGCAAACCUCUACUCCAUUCCUCAGCUGUGUUUGCUCCUCUGUUCUCAGGGAGCAGCAUUUUCACUGGAUGCAAACUGUGAGGCACUGUCUGGGCAAGCAGAUUGGUUACUAAUGAGGAAACUGGCACUGACAGCCUUUUGGGUUCUGAUUGAAGAAAAGAGAUGUCUUCGCAUCAGAAUGGUUUAACUUUCAAUGUGGCAUAUCAACUGGUUGAAAUUAGGGAGAGAGAGAAAGAGAAAUUUAAUUGUCAGGCUGUGGUGCGUAGUGUCAAAGCUACCUAGAUUAUGAGAAAUACGUCUUUUCAACAGCUUAAAGGCCACAGCUCUCAACAUUUUUUCUGCAUGUACAACACAGACAGGAUCCAGAAAUCCCAGCCUAUAACUCUUGGUUCCGUCAAAUACUCAACAGAGAAAACAGAAGUAUUUGAUUGUGGUAUUAACUAUGAAAUGUUCCCUAUUAGCCAUAUGAUUCUAUUAGCUCAGCUCAUUCCUGUUAGAUUUAUAGAAACAUUAGAGAUAAUUGGAAUUAGAAGGGCCAAGAGAGACGAUCCAAUCCCAUAUAGAGAAAAGCAAGACCCCUGCUCUCACUGAAGAAGUUUUAAAAAUAAUUAAACAACAAACAAACAAAUUGAGGCCCAGAGAGAUGAAGUAAUUUGACUGAUGUAUUCCAUCAGUGACAGACCUGGGACUGGAGCUCCAUCUCAGCUCUCAGCCCACUAAGAACCCUGUUCAUGGUGCCAUACUAGCAACCCCCUUCCUGUAGGAGUCUUUGAGAGUCAGAAUGACUUCUUGACUGAGAGGUACAUGUCUCUAGGAUAAGGACAAUUGAGGGGAUAAUGAGGAAAGAAAUAAUGUAAGUUAACUAUAUUUUGCCACAUGCCCUCCUCUCUCCAUGAAUCCAGGAUGUUGACCCAUAUCCAGCAUCCAUUGUGGGACUAAGUCUCGGACACCAAGGACUUCUAAGGAGCCUGCUCCAAUCUGAAAUGACUGUGGGGGAGCUGGCCAUUCCCCGAGCCAUUCUUGGAAUAUUGGGCCACAGGGGCCACUGGGGAGCAUGUAUAGGUAGGGGCGGCUUUGAUAUAAGCCUAGGUAUUCAAUUCUUCAUGGGACCCCCAAUGCUACCCCAAGUCUGCACCUUGAUUCCCAAAUACCCAAGAGAGACAAAAUGUCCUACUUUCUCUCUGAAGUUCUUCUAAUGUUGGAAGACCUAGGGUGGAGGCAAACCUUUCAGAGAAUUUCUGCUGGGAUUUAAAUGUAUGUCUAGCUGGCUUUAGACAUUAGAAGACUGUAAUAUGUACCUUAAUAAGUUGCCUUUCCCAUGGUGUUUGUUAUCCUCAGAAGACCCCCAUAGUGACUCUAGGAGACAAUUCUCAUAUCUUCUGAACUGUGCAUGUUCAUAGUUUUUCUGAGCAGGGUUUGCAUCUAGCAGCGAUGGAGGUAUAGGAGGUCACAGGCAACACUGCGUGCCUCACACAACAUUGUAGAUCAAGACACAGUUAAAUGGGCUGGCAAUUCUGAGUUUCUGAGUCCAGUCCCAUGACUAGUAUAGCUGUCAGAACUAGAGGGGCCAACCCUGGGAAUCUUGGAGAUGCUUUAUGAAUAUAUGAGAUUUCAGGCAUCCAAGCUCUUCUAUUUGUUUACAUGUAUUCUCAAUGUCUAUCUCCCAUUAUCAAAUCUAUUCCAAAAGUAUUUUUUCAACACUUGCUGGAGACUCUUGGAUAAAGCUAGUAAACGUGCUUUUAUUAAGCUCCAACUCUGUGCUGACCACUUAUACAUAUAUUGUCUCAGUUGCACUCAAAAUGCUAUUGUGUGUUAGGGUUCUUUCUUACAGAUUUUGAAACAGUGUCUUGGAGAGGUUAGGUGAAUUGCUCAAAAGACGCAGCAAGCACAGAGCUGUGACUUGGUCCUGUCUUAUCUGCUUUGGGGUUAUGGGUAGUUUAUCUUUAUAUGCCUAUUUUAACAGUAGACCCUCAACCACUGAAAUUGACAGGAAAAAGUAUGUGGUUGUUUUACCAAACAAACAAACAGACAAAAAACCAAACCCACCAAACCUGAAAUUUUUGGUUUGGUCAACAUUUUAAUUCAACUGUACUCAAUGUAUUAACAAUGGUGAUUUGAUAUGAUGGAUGUAAUUGAUAAUCAAUGCAGUGCCAUUUAUAGACUGCCUAAAAGUGCAUUGUACAUCAUUUUGACAACAUAUUUACCUGCAUUGUUUGGGCAAAAUGAAUUUUAAAAUUAUUUUUUGUUUCCUAAAUUUGUAUCAAUUGAAAAAAAAAAAGUCAUCUGGGUAGCAGACAGAAGUCAGCCUGGGACUACAGUGGGUCAUAACCCUGAGGAUUCAAAUGUGGGCAAUGGCAACAACAUCAGCGACUAAAGCUGUCAGUGGAGAAAAGAAGAAAGCACACGCCAGCCACCCUGCAGAACAAUGCAGUUCUUUCAGAGUCACAUAGUCCUAAAUCUGGAAACCAUCACAGCUGAGAGGAUAAGCUUUGGAACCCGAUAGUGGUCUAAAACUAGGCUCUGCCUGCCAUGGACAAACUACAAGAGACUGGGAAGUGAGUUAAACCUGAGCUAAAUCCCAGUUUCCUUCUCUGCAAAACAGGGAGUGGGGACAGUGGAAUAACACCUCCCUCAUAGAACUGUUGGGAGGCAUAAAUGACCCUCAGCACAGGGUGGUGUGUAUGGAAUGUGCAUCAUAAGUGGCAGCUAUUUUGAUAAUUACUAAACAUGAUGAAUGAUGAUAAGCGAAAUAAUAACACAGCUUUUCAACAUUUUCACUCAAUAAGUUAAAUUUAUAAUAGGCAAGCAAAGGAGUUUCCAGAAUUAAGCAUCUGAUGGGAGCUUAGACAGGUUGACUUUUACAGCUCAUUCUAACCCUGAGUGAGGGUCUGUGAUUUUAUAAGCCCUUUUAGGGUUCGAGUGCUACUUCUAAUCAAGAUCCUGGUAUCAUGUUUUUCUCCAUUACGUGGAACAAUAAUGAAUAGAUAAAUAAAAUAUAACUGGGAAAGGAGAACACAGAUUGAACACAUGCAUUUAUCUCCACUCUUGUCCAAAACCUCACAGUAAAAUAAUUUAAAAUACAUGAACCUAUAAGAACAAGAGAGGGGAGAUAUGAUGAAAGAGAAAACCAAAAUUUUGGAAGUUGGAAAAAAAUGGAAGGCUGGUUAGCCAAUUAGGGACAGUAGAAAGCUGCAUAUCUGUAAGGCACAUGCUGCCAAGAGAGAAAAGCAAGGCAAUUUGGAUGUGGAACCUCAGACAGGCUUAGAAUAGGAAACAGAUCCAUGAGUCAUGACACUGUGGUUGAGAUUUCUGCUUUAGCCAUUCCAGCGUAUGCUUGUUUUUCCCUAAAAGUCUUUACUCAUUUGUUUUCUCUCUUCCGCCCAGUGAACAUCUACUCAUUCUUCAAAACCCAGAACUGUUGUUGUUUCUUGAAAAAUGGAGAUUAUUCCAAAGUUCUUUUAGCCUUUGCAAUGUGAAGGCAUGUGUCAGGGUUGGGAGGAGUUGGGGAACAGCACCUCUUUCUUUUAACGUCCAAUUGAUUGAGGCCAAUGGGUCAUCCUGCCUCCUUCCCUAAAUAUUCCUGAGAAUGCUCAGAGAGGGCCCACAUGUUCCCUAAGUCCAUUCUGGUUACCCUGUGUGCCUUCUUGCUCUGGUCUGCUGCUCCCAGCUUCUUCACGAUCACUUGUGAUCAUUUGCUAGCCUUUUUUUAGUCCAUUUUACUCCAAAGCAAGAAUACAGUACUUGCUCCUUACUCUCCAAUGCUUACCAAUGCAACAACAAGAGGUAAUAGUAUUUAACAAAUUUUGAUACGGAGGAAAGGAAAACCUAAAAUAAGGUACCAUGUAUCACUAUUCCUGAAUUCUGUCAUCAUGUCCCUUUAAAGGCAGUGCUCUAUAGGUUCCGUCUCUCCUGUGGCCCCAGCCUGCUGCCACUGGAACAAGGGUCCAGGGUUCUUAAUGCACGGAAGUCUUCAUCUUAUCCCCCACAAAUCUACAGCCAAAAGAAGGAAAUACCCAUUGAUGACACGAUAGACAAUAUAACAGUUGACAAGAUAAUUGAUACAGCGUGCCCAAUGUGAAGAGAGAAUUUGUCACGGCUAGAGUAGUGAACCUUCUCCAGGUGAACCAUCUGCCGUUGGAAGCUUCCUUUUGUCCAGGGCUCCUGCAAGGCCAGUGAGUAGGUACUUCUAUCUACACAUGACUGAAAAAGACUUACCAAAACCAAUAUAUUCCCAAGGAUACUUUCUAAAUUCUACCCAAGGAGCAGAUGCUGCUCACAAUUCUCUAAAACAAGGUCUUUUUUUUUUCAACCCCAGAUAUAUCAAGAAUGGGACACAAUCUCCGAGGAAGAAAUUGUCAGCAUCUAUCUUGAAAAUAUCUUUGGUUUCCCAUUACAUUUCGGAUUUCUCUAGACCAUAUUUGUAGUUCCCUUUUUGGUGUUCCCAUUCUUGUAAGUUUAUAUAAACAGCAAUAAGACUAUAGCUCUUCUCACAGGAUACUUUGUUAUUUCUUAAUGGGACUGUCUGUCCUGUAGGCUAUGAGCUAUUUGAGGGCAAAGAAUAUUCUAUUCAUCUUUAUAUUCCUGGCACAUGGUAGGCACUCAGUAAUGCUGCUGCUGAAUUGAAUCGGCUGUGGGAAAAAAACAAAUGCUUCUCCUCAGUCAGCAUUUGUUUUCUAGGAUCUAUUCCAAUAUAUUUCCAACAAAAAUAUGAGAUUUAAAAGAUAGGCAGAGAGUGAAUUGAACUGAAUAUUGCACAAAAACUCCUUGUCUUUAAAGGUGGAAACAAAAUCCACCACCUUCCCAAGAUAGCUGUUCUGUCUCACAUCUUCUUGAAGCAAUGAAAUGAUGAGUACUGUGAUCAGAGAGGACCCUCAGAAAAUAAAUAAAAACCCAGCUCUACAAAUGCAGCCGUAAGCCAGGAGGAUAUGACGAAGGAUAUCAUUAUCAUCCUGAUAUUUUUAGAAGUUCUUUGGUGACAGGUCAGAUUUUUGAGAAUCAGAAAAUGAUAAAAAUAAUCUUGUUAUUCCACAAAGGAGGCUCUAUAUAUAUCAGGCCGAUUUUGAACACUGCCUGAGAAUGUUGAGAAAAUAUUUUUAAAUGUUAGUGAAAUGAUAGGCUUUGGGGGCAGACCCAGCCUCGCUUUAGAAAAAGCUUUAUCGUGGGGGGAUUGAGAGAUUUUAGUGAUGUGAGCAUUGUAAAGAAUCAGCAGUGAGUGGGUGUAAGUUUUUGUUUUCCAAUUUUCCAGAGGAGGGUCCACCUGGGAAGAAUUUCAUGAAAUUUACAGAAAUCUGAAAAUUGCUUUUGAAGCUAUUACAGGUACCUGGGGAGUCCUCCUUGGCCCCACAGGCUGACUACACUAUCCAGAUCUUAAGGGACUCUCAUCUUUCCUAACUUCUAGGUUGCAGGAUUCUGCAGAAUUACUUCUGCAGCUUCCAUUUGUAGCUAUUGCUAAGUGGACCCAUAGCUAUAUGGGAUGUGGGGCUCUGGAUUUCAGGUAGAAAUGACCCUUUGUUUAUUUGAGAUGUUUGCUUCUUUAAAUACUCAGCCAUCUGACUCUCUAAUUGUUUAGGAUUAGUCAUAAGUUAAGUAGGACAGGGAAGAUGUUAUAAAUAGUUUAUUGCAUAUCCAUUCAAGAAAUUUAGGCUAAGUUUAUAUAUUUUACCUUCUGAAAGGAGAAAGCCUGUGUGUUUAUUUAAAGCAUUGUAGAUUUUUUCUCAUUUAGAAUAUAUGAGUCUAGUAUAAAAAUUGAUUCUAGAUGAUUUAUAUGUAAGUUGCUCUUUUCUUCAUACUUAUUUUGCUACCUUUUUAUUUCAUGUUUUUUCUUAAGUAUGACUUUGAGCCUUUAAAAGUAUUUCCUUUAUGUCUCUUUUGAAUAUCAAAAACAACAUGAAUUAAAAAUAGAAGUCUACAUAUCAA
RNAcentral lists this long non-coding RNA (7379 nucleotides) under Homo sapiens (human). Its description in RNAcentral is "HSALNT0347497". The record is from RNAcentral. Lineage: Eukaryota; Metazoa; Chordata; Mammalia; Primates; Hominidae.